AACGAACGCUGGCGGCAUGCCUAACACAUGCAAGUCGAACGAAGCCUUCGGGCUUAGUGGCGCACGGGUGCGUAACGCGUGGGAAUCUGCCCUGGGGUACGGAACAACAGUUAGAAAUGACUGCUAAUACCGUAUGAUGUCUUCGGACCAAAGAUUUAUCGCCCUGGGAUGAGCCCGCGUAGGAUUAGGUAGUUGGUGGGGUAAAGGCCCACCAAGCCGACGAUCCUUAGCUGGUCUGAGAGGAUGAUCAGCCACACUGGGACUGAGACACGGCCCAGACUCCUACGGGAGGCAGCAGUGGGGAAUAUUGGACAAUGGGCGAAAGCCUGAUCCAGCAAUGCCGCGUGAGUGAUGAAGGCCUUAGGGUUGUAAAGCUCUUUUACCCGGGAAGAUAAUGACUGUACCGGGAGAAUAAGCCCCGGCUAACUCCGUGCCAGCAGCCGCAGUAA
This 449-nucleotide ribosomal RNA is filed under the name uncultured bacterium. RNAcentral describes it as "partial 16S ribosomal RNA". It matches the Rfam family "Bacterial small subunit ribosomal RNA", at positions 29 to 523 of the family's 1533-position model. The record is from RNAcentral.